RNAcentral lists this ribosomal RNA (301 nucleotides) under uncultured bacterium. RNAcentral describes it as "partial 16S ribosomal RNA". It matches the Rfam family "Bacterial small subunit ribosomal RNA", at positions 509 to 807 of the family's 1533-position model. The record is from RNAcentral.
CAGCAGCCGCGGUAAUACGAAGGGGGCUAGCGUUGCUCGGAAUGACUGGGCGUAAAGGGCGCGUAGGCGGAUGGCACAGUCAGAUGUGAAAUUCCCGGGCUUAACCUGGGGGCUGCAUUUGAUACGUGUUGUCUAGAGUGAGGAAGAGGGUUGUGGAAUUCCCAGUGUAGAGGUGAAAUUCGUAGAUAUUGGGAAGAACACCGGUGGCGAAGGCGGCAACCUGGUCCUUGACUGACGCUGAGGCGCGAAAGCGUGGGGAGCAAACAGGAUUAGAUACCCGUGUAGUCCCUGUCUCUUAUAC